Glycine soja is the source of this 714-nucleotide RNA transcript. It is a transcript of the gene named protein BOLA1, chloroplastic-like, with no coding region annotated. The transcript has 3 exons. The record is from RefSeq and is a predicted model, not a curated record. Lineage: Eukaryota; Viridiplantae; Streptophyta; Magnoliopsida; Fabales; Fabaceae.
CCGUCAGUAGCCAGAGGUGGAAAUAUAAACUUUCCCUCCCCAAUUUCUGUCCAUGUUUUCAUCUGCGGAAACUCCUCCGUUCUCAAAACCCUAACCCGACGCCACCAUUCAUCCGAUCCAAUGAGUUCGAGAGGAGCCAGCGCGCUGCUAUCUCGAGCCAGCAGGAUUCGCUCGAAGCUUCAAACGGCGCUGGAAGCCACCGUUUUGGAGGUGGACGACGUGUCGUACCAGCACGCGGGCCACGCCGCCGUGAAGGGAAGUUCCGACAAAGAAACCCACUUCAACGUGAAGAUCGUAUCGCCCAAGUUCGAGGGCCAGAGCCUCGUCAAACGACACCGUCUCGUCUACGACCUCCUCGCCGAGGAGCUCCAGAGCGGCCUCCACGCCCUCUCUAUCGUCGCCAAAACGCUCCACGAAACAAACCCUAAUAAGUGACGCGUCGGGAGUGUCAAAGUUCGAGGCUUUUCCGCCGUUAAAGCUCCUUCCUCUGUCACAGCGACCCAUUCAGCUCAUCCACUCAUUUUCAUUCAAUUUUGCUGGGAGGAUGUCUCACUGGAUUUGAAGCUUAAAAGUAUCAACUAUAAAGAUGAUUGCAAAUCCUCAGAGAACAGCAAAUUGCAUUUCAUUGUUUGGAUUUUUAGUGGAAGUAAUUGAAUUAUGGGACAGAUAACAAUUAUAAUUACAAUAAUAUAAAAUUUCGACCUUGAUUUUACA